GACGAACGCUGGCGGCGCGCUUAACACAUGCAAGUCGAGCGAUGAAAUUUCGACAGAUCCCUUCGGGGUGAAGAUGAAAUGGAUUAGCGGCGGACGGGUGAGUAACACGUGAGUAACCUGCCUUUGACAUUGGGAUAGCCUCGGGAAACUGGGAUUAAUACCAAAUGACACUAACUGAUCACAUGAUCAAUUAGUCAAAGAAAUUCGGUCAAAGAUGGACUCGCGGCUGAUUAGCUAGUUGGUGAGGUAACGGCCCACCAAGGCGACGAUCAGUAGCCGGCCUGAGAGGGUGAUCGGCCACAGUGGAACUGAGACACGGUCCAAACUCCUACGGGAGGCAGCAGUGGGGAAUAUUGCACAAUGGGGGAAACCCUGAUGCAGCGACGCCGCGUGAGCGAAGAAGGCCUUCGGGUCGUAAAGCUCUUUUAUGAGGGAAGAUAAUGACGGUACCUCAAGAAAAAGCCCCGGCUAACUACGUG
This 479-nucleotide ribosomal RNA is filed under the name uncultured bacterium. RNAcentral describes it as "partial 16S ribosomal RNA". It matches the Rfam family "Bacterial small subunit ribosomal RNA", at positions 28 to 507 of the family's 1533-position model. The record is from RNAcentral.